UACAGAGGGUGCGAGCGUUAAUCGGAAUUACUGGGCGUAAAGGGCGUGUAGGUGGUUAUGUAAGUUUGAUGUGAAAGCCCCGGGCUUAACCUGGGAACUGCGUUGAAAACUGCAAGACUAGAGUUGGACAGAGGGUGGUGGAAUUUCCGGUGUAGCGGUGAAAUGCGUAGAGAUCGGAAAGAACAUCCGUGGCGAAGGCGGCCACCUGGGUCCAAACUGACACUGAGGCGCGAAAGCGUGGGGAGCAAAC
RNAcentral lists this ribosomal RNA (250 nucleotides) under uncultured bacterium. RNAcentral's name for it is "partial 16S ribosomal RNA". It matches the Rfam family "Bacterial small subunit ribosomal RNA", at positions 524 to 773 of the family's 1533-position model. The record is from RNAcentral.